RNAcentral lists this ribosomal RNA (2924 nucleotides) under Escherichia coli. Its description in RNAcentral is "23S ribosomal RNA". It matches the Rfam family "Bacterial large subunit ribosomal RNA". The record is from RNAcentral. Lineage: Bacteria; Pseudomonadati; Pseudomonadota; Gammaproteobacteria; Enterobacterales; Enterobacteriaceae.
GGGUUGUGAGGUUAAGCGACUAAGCGUACACGGUGGAUGCCCUGGCAGUCAGAGGCGAUGAAGGACGUGCUAAUCUGCGAUAAGCGUCGGUAAGGUGAUAUGAACCGUUAUAACCGGCGAUUUCCGAAUGGGGAAACCCAGUGUGAUUCGUCACACUAUCAUUAACUGAAUCCAUAGGUUAAUGAGGCGAACCGGGGAACUGAAACAUCUAAGUACCCCGAGGAAAAGAAAUCAACCGAGAUUCCCCAGUAGCGGCGAGCGAACGGGGAGCAGCCCAGAGCCUGAAUCAGUGUGUGUGUUAGUGGAAGCGUCUGGAAAGGCGCGCGAUACAGGGUGACAGCCCCGUACACAAAAAUGCACAUGCUGUGAGCUCGAUGAGUAGGGCGGGACACGUGGUAUCCUGUCUGAAUAUGGGGGGACCAUCCUCCAAGGCUAAAUACUCCUGACUGACCGAUAGUGAACCAGUACCGUGAGGGAAAGGCGAAAAGAACCCCGGCGAGGGAGUGAAAAAGAACCUGAAACCGUGUACGUACAAGCAGUGGGAGCACGCUUAGGCGUGUGACUGCGUACCUUUUGUAUAAUGGGUCAGCGACUUAUAUUCUGUAGCAAGGUUAACCGAAUAGGGGAGCCGAAGGGAAACCGAGUCUUAACUGGGCGUUAAGUUGCAGGGUAUAGACCCGAAACCCGGUGAUCUAGCCAUGGGCAGGUUGAAGGUUGGGUAACACUAACUGGAGGACCGAACCGACUAAUGUUGAAAAAUUAGCGGAUGACUUGUGGCUGGGGUGAAAGGCCAAUCAAACCGGGAGAUAGCUGGUUCUCCCGAAAGCUAUUUAGGUAGCGCCUCGUGAAUUCAUCUCCGGGGGUAGAGCACUGUUUCGGCAAGGGGGUCAUCCCGACUUACCAACCCGAUGCAAACUGCGAAUACCGGAGAAUGUUAUCACGGGAGACACACGGCGGGUGCUAACGUCCGUCGUGAAGAGGGAAACAACCCAGACCGCCAGCUAAGGUCCCAAAGUCAUGGUUAAGUGGGAAACGAUGUGGGAAGGCCCAGACAGCCAGGAUGUUGGCUUAGAAGCAGCCAUCAUUUAAAGAAAGCGUAAUAGCUCACUGGUCGAGUCGGCCUGCGCGGAAGAUGUAACGGGCUAAACCAUGCACCGAAGCUGCGGCAGCGACGCUGAUGCGUUGUUGGGUAGGGGAGCGUUCUGUAAGCCUGCGAAGGUGUGCUGUGAGGCAUGCUGGAGGUAUCAGAAGUGCGAAUGCUGACAUAAGUAACGAUAAAGCGGGUGAAAAGCCCGCUCGCCGGAAGACCAAGGGUUCCUGUCCAACGUUAAUCGGGGCAGGGUGAGUCGACCCCUAAGGCGAGGCCGAAAGGCGUAGUCGAUGGGAAACAGGUUAAUAUUCCUGUACUUGGUGUUACUGCGAAGGGGGGACGGAGAAGGCUAUGUUGGCCGGGCGACGGUUGUCCCGGUUUAAGCGUGUAGGCUGGUUUUCCAGGCAAAUCCGGAAAAUCAAGGCUGAGGCGUGAUGACGAGGCACUACGGUGCUGAAGCAACAAAUGCCCUGCUUCCAGGAAAAGCCUCUAAGCAUCAGGUAACAUCAAAUCGUACCCCAAACCGACACAGGUGGUCAGGUAGAGAAUACCAAGGCGCUUGAGAGAACUCGGGUGAAGGAACUAGGCAAAAUGGUGCCGUAACUUCGGGAGAAGGCACGCUGAUAUGUAGGUGAAGUCCCUCGCGGAUGGAGCUGAAAUCAGUCGAAGAUACCAGCUGGCUGCAACUGUUUAUUAAAAACACAGCACUGUGCAAACACGAAAGUGGACGUAUACGGUGUGACGCCUGCCCGGUGCCGGAAGGUUAAUUGAUGGGGUUAGCGCAAGCGAAGCUCUUGAUCGAAGCCCCGGUAAACGGCGGCCGUAACUAUAACGGUCCUAAGGUAGCGAAAUUCCUUGUCGGGUAAGUUCCGACCUGCACGAAUGGCGUAAUGAUGGCCAGGCUGUCUCCACCCGAGACUCAGUGAAAUUGAACUCGCUGUGAAGAUGCAGUGUACCCGCGGCAAGACGGAAAGACCCGUGAACCUUUACUAUAGCUUGACACUGAACAUUGAGCCUUGAUGUGUAGGAUAGGUGGGAGGCUUUGAAGUGUGGACGCCAGUCUGCAUGGAGCCGACCUUGAAAUACCACCCUUUAAUGUUUGAUGUUCUAACGUGGACCCGUAAUCCGGGUUGCGGACAGUGUCUGGUGGGUAGUUUGACUGGGGCGGUCUCCUCCUAAAGAGUAACGGAGGAGCACGAAGGUUGGCUAAUCCUGGUCGGACAUCAGGAGGUUAGUGCAAUGGCAUAAGCCAGCUUGACUGCGAGCGUGACGGCGCGAGCAGGUGCGAAAGCAGGUCAUAGUGAUCCGGUGGUUCUGAAUGGAAGGGCCAUCGCUCAACGGAUAAAAGGUACUCCGGGGAUAACAGGCUGAUACCGCCCAAGAGUUCAUAUCGACGGCGGUGUUUGGCACCUCGAUGUCGGCUCAUCACAUCCUGGGGCUGAAGUAGGUCCCAAGGGUAUGGCUGUUCGCCAUUUAAAGUGGUACGCGAGCUGGGUUUAGAACGUCGUGAGACAGUUCGGUCCCUAUCUGCCGUGGGCGCUGGAGAAUUGAGGGGGGCUGCUCCUAGUACGAGAGGACCGGAGUGGACGCAUCACUGGUGUUCGGGUUGUCAUGCCAAUGGCACUGCCCGGUAGCUAAAUGCGGAAGAGAUAAGUGCUGAAAGCAUCUAAGCACGAAACUUGCCCCGAGAUGAGUUCUCCCUGACUCCUUGAGAGUCCUGAAGGAACGUUGAAGACGACGACGUUGAUAGGCCGGGUGUGUAAGCGCAGCGAUGCGUUGAGCUAACCGGUACUAAUGAACCGUGAGGCUUAACCUUACAACGCCGAAGGUGUUU